Molecule: non-coding RNA, 327 nt
Organism: Arachis ipaensis
Lineage: Eukaryota; Viridiplantae; Streptophyta; Magnoliopsida; Fabales; Fabaceae
Source: RefSeq, a predicted model, not a curated record
CCCGGUCGUCCUAGGAAGAGAAGUAUUGUUGAUCCUGUGUUUGAGAGCCAAUUAACAGUUAACAGGGAAUAAAGAGAAGAAGACCUUCGAGGUGACAUGUAGCAAAUGCGAAAAAAGGUCACUAUUAUAAGACAUGUAAGGGAGCCUCAAGGGAUCCAAUUGGCAACCAAAGAAGAAGAAGGAAAGACAAUCAAAGGUUGGGUGUGUGAACUUCUUCCCCACUAUGCCAACAUUGUCAGAGUUGUUACUUGAAGAGCUCACCAACUUUUCUUUCCAUGGACGACAGAUUGAACCUGAUGAAUGCUCUUUCAUGUUCAUCAUUAAAGG